This is a long non-coding RNA of Dermochelys coriacea (leatherback sea turtle), 1663 nucleotides long. RefSeq lists it as uncharacterized. Lineage: Eukaryota; Metazoa; Chordata; Testudines; Dermochelyidae. The transcript is spliced from 2 exons. The record is from RefSeq and is a predicted model, not a curated record.
CUUUCUUACUCUUUUGUUCUUUCCCAAUUGCUUAGAUGAUUCUUCCUGGAAAAACAAAAAUCACACAAAUACGAUUUCAGUAAUCUCUUGCCUUCUAGUAAAGACCACUUUGCUUUUCUGUGCACUGCUAACAUUCUUUUGAGGUGACUCACUACAGUACACUUAAUAGUGUAAUCAGUUUAAAAUAUUCAUAGUUCAGAGAUUGUGAUCAUACAGACUUGUAUAUUUAACAACCUAACUUUCUUAUUUAGUAAAUUUUUGUCUUGACCAACUCUAAAACCUUUAUUCAUAGUUAGAAAAGGAAUGAUCACCCUGACUCUGACCUCGCUUACAACAGUUAAGCUCUUCAGGGCAAGGAUCUUAUCUUCCUCUGUACAUCAACUAACAGAAUGGAUCUCUGAACCUAACUGGGGGCUCUGGGCACUGCCCCAAUAAGCACUCUGAUAAUAAGGAAGAGAGCUGAAUGAAUACAUAAGAUAGACAUAAUAACUAACUUCACAUUGGUGUGACUUCAUUGAAGUGGACCAACAUGUGUGCUUCACUCACUAUCUUGCACUUUAGAACCAAAAAAGAAUGAAAGUGCUCACCCCAAUAGCCAGCUGGGGUUUUGGUGGAGGCAGGAGUAGUGGAGACAUCUCAACCAGAAGCAGCUAAUGCAGUGUUCCACAUGCCCCCUUGCUUCCCAUACUCCCCCUUCACCUCUGGUGGGUAUGGGAUGAGGCUCUCUCCUACUGCCACUGGGUUGGUGGACGGAGGAGGGGGUGCAGGGCUGGAUGACUGGCUCCCAUCUGGUGCAGUGGGGGAAAGGCAGUGAUAAGGUUUGCUUCCCAGGUGGGGAAGCCUGCAGGCUCUGUUUCAGCCCCACUUUUAAGCUACUAAUGCUGGAUCUCCUCUGAUGCCAGGGGCUAACUUGACAGCCAGUUCUGCAAAGGAUUUUUUUCCUUACCUGAUGAAAUUAGCAAGUUGCUAUGUGGAAGGUGAGAAAACUCACACGGCAUCCAGGAGAUAUGAGAAAUUUAAUUACAAUUGUUAUAACUUUGGUACGAUCUGGUGUGGCUGGAUUAGGAAGGGUACAAUUAAAGGCGCUAAACCCAGCAGGCUGCUUGAGCAUUGGUCCGAAGCACUUUCAUGGAAUAGCAAUGGGGUAUGCCUAUAUGUCUCAUGGAGCUUGUGGCUUACCUCAUCUCGUGUCUCCUACCUCCAGCAUGGAGGAAAGGAGUGGGUCAGGACUCUAGCUUCCAGUCUGGGGUGCCUGGCAGACCUAAGGGUGACCUUCACUCUCACGUUGAGGUUUAUAAUAUAUUGGGGUAUAGGGUGGCUUAUCCUAGUAUGGUAUGAUUUGUUAAUAAAAAUACAGCCUCCAUAUUUAAUCACAUUAUGGUAUCUGUGUCUCACUGUUACUGUGUUCAAAUCAACACACAGUGUUUACAAGCUGACCACAAUGCAGGGCCUCUAGUUUCUCAUGUCUGGUGUAAGUAUCAAACACAUCUGAACCUGCUGUAAAAACCUGUUGCCUUCUAUUGGCAUGCAAUUCUCACAUUUCAUGCAUAAUUUACAAAAUGCCUUUGAUCCUUUACUGGAAACUAGCAUUUAAAAUGAAACGGAGAAGUCCAUUAGUGGAACACAUUAAAGAGUAUGUUUGCAUCGUGAUUGCUAUGCUGAA